This 453-nucleotide ribosomal RNA is filed under the name uncultured Paraprevotella sp. Its description in RNAcentral is "partial 16S ribosomal RNA". It matches the Rfam family "Bacterial small subunit ribosomal RNA", at positions 341 to 792 of the family's 1533-position model. Lineage: Bacteria; Pseudomonadati; Bacteroidota; Bacteroidia; Bacteroidales; Prevotellaceae. The record is from RNAcentral.
ACGGGAGGCAGCAGUGAGGAAUAUUGGUCAAUGGGCGAGAGCCUGAACCAGCCAAGUAGCGUGAGGGAAGACUGCCCUAUGGGUUGUAAACCUCUUUUGUUCGGGAAUAAAGUGCGGGACGUGUCCCGCUUUGCAUGUACCGUUCGAAUAAGCAUCGGCUAAUUCCGUGCCAGCAGCCGCGGUAAUACGGAAGAUGCGAGCGUUAUCCGGAUUUAUUGGGUUUAAAGGGAGCGUAGGCGGCCUUUUAAGUCAGCGGUCAAAUGUCAGCGCCCAACGCUGGCCUGCCGUUGAUACUGUUAGGCUUGAAUACACACAAGGAAGGUGGAAUUCGUCGUGUAGCGGUGAAAUGCUUAGAUAUGACGAAGAACUCCGAUUGCGAAGGCAGCCUUCUGGGGUGCGAUUGACGCUGAGGCUCGAAAGCGCGGGUAUCAAACAGGAUUAGAUACCCUGGUA